This is a long non-coding RNA of Quercus lobata, 134 nucleotides long. RefSeq lists it as uncharacterized. The transcript is spliced from 2 exons. The record is from RefSeq and is a predicted model, not a curated record. Lineage: Eukaryota; Viridiplantae; Streptophyta; Magnoliopsida; Fagales; Fagaceae.
UAAUAAAGUAUGCUUUCAGUAAGGGAAUCACUUUCUUUGAUACAUCAGACGUUUAUGGACCCCAUACUAAUGAAAUUCUUCUUGGAAAGGCCUUGAAGCAGUUGCCAAGAGAGAAAAUUCAGAUAGCCACCAAA